AACGAACGCUGGCGGCGCGCCUAAUACAUGCAAGUCGAGCGAGAAGACGUAGCGAUACGUUUGUAAAGCGGCGAACGGGUGAGGAAUACAUGGGUAACCUACCCUCGAGUGGGGAAUAACUAGCCGAAAGGUUAGCUAAUACCGCGUACGUUCCUUGGACUUCGGUUCAGGGAGGAAAGCGAUACCGUGGGUAUCGCGCUCUUGGAUGGGCUCAUGUCCUAUCAGCUUGUUGGUGAGGUAACGGCUCGCCAAGGCUUCGACGGGUAGCUGGUCUGAGAGGACGAUCAGCCACACUGGCACUGCGACACGGGCCAGACUCCUACGGGAGGCAGCAGUAAGGAUAUUGCGCAAUGGGCGAAAGCCUGACGCAGCGACGCCGCGUGGGGGA
This 388-nucleotide ribosomal RNA is filed under the name uncultured bacterium. RNAcentral describes it as "bacterial SSU rRNA". It matches the Rfam family "Bacterial small subunit ribosomal RNA", at positions 29 to 408 of the family's 1533-position model. The record is from RNAcentral.